Molecule: ribosomal RNA, 255 nt
Filed under: uncultured marine alveolate
Lineage: Eukaryota
Description: partial 18S ribosomal RNA
Rfam family: Eukaryotic small subunit ribosomal RNA
Source: RNAcentral
GUUAAAAAGCUCGUAGUUGGAUUUCUGUCGAGGACGGCCGGUCUUCACUAUGUGAAAGUAUCUGGUUCGGCCUUGGCAUCCUCGUGGGGAACGUAGCUGCGCUUGAUUGCGUGGUGCGGAAUUCACGACUUUUACUUUGAGGAAAUUAGAGUGGUCACGGCAGGCAAUUCGCCUUGAAUAUAUUAGCAUGGAAAAAUAAUAUAGGACCUUGGUUCUUUUUUUUUGGUUUCUAGGACUGGGGUAAUGAUUAAAAGG